This 282-nucleotide ribosomal RNA is filed under the name Triticum aestivum (bread wheat). RNAcentral describes it as "partial small subunit ribosomal RNA". The record is from RNAcentral. Lineage: Eukaryota; Viridiplantae; Streptophyta; Magnoliopsida; Poales; Poaceae.
AUGGAGAGCGCCCAUAAGAAGGCACUCGGCAUCGUGACGCUACUGGUGGUUCUGCAGCUGCUCGUGGCGGCCAUGGCUCGCUCACCACCAGAGGAGAUGGAAACGGAGGCGGCGAGAUCAGAAAAGAUAGCGAUUGAGCGCCUCGUCCUGAAAGCGCCGCGGGGAGACGCGAAAUGCGCCGACGAAACAUGCUAUACUGGUUUUUGCUUCGUCGUCGCUGGUUGCAGCUGCCAGUAUCCCUACUGUACAAAGUCUCGCGUCCCAACGCCAGUUCAUGCUUGA